Molecule: transfer RNA, 72 nt
Filed under: Acidobacteriota bacterium
Lineage: Bacteria; Pseudomonadati; Acidobacteriota
Description: tRNA-Gln
Rfam family: tRNA
About the family: Transfer RNA (tRNA) molecules are approximately 80 nucleotides in length. Their secondary structure includes four short double-helical elements and three loops (D, anti-codon, and T loops).
Source: RNAcentral
UGGGGCGUCGCCAAGCGGUAAGGCACCGGGUUUUGGUCCCGGCAUUCGCAGGUUCGAAUCCUGCCGCCCCAG